Molecule: small nucleolar RNA, 151 nt
Filed under: Erinaceus europaeus (western European hedgehog)
Lineage: Eukaryota; Metazoa; Chordata; Mammalia; Eulipotyphla; Erinaceidae
Description: Small nucleolar RNA SNORA81 (ENSEEUG00000023028.1)
Rfam family: Small nucleolar RNA SNORA81
Source: RNAcentral
CCAGAGCUGAGCAGUGCACUUGUUAAAAAAUAAUAAAUAUGCUAGCAGAAUAUACACAAGAAGAAAAUAAUUGCAGUAAAUUAUAGAAGACUAGAGUGAACCUCCUCCUUAUGGCCGAGGGCCGUUUGCCUAAGAAUUGUUGGCAGAAUCG